AAAACAUGAUUCCUCANUACGGCGAGCGAAGAGGGAUAAGCUCAAAUUUUAAAUCUGUUGGGUCUCACCUAACAGAGUUGUAUUUUGAAGAAACGUUUUCUGCGUCCAGGAUUAGCCUAAAUCCUUUGGGAUAAGGUAUCAUGGAGGGUGAGAAUCCCGUUCAUGGUUAAUCUUAAGGAUGCUCUACGAUACGUUCUCCAAGAGUCGAGUUGUUUGGGAUUGCAGCUCAAAAUGGGAGGUAAAUUUCUCCUAAGGCUAAAUAUUGGCGAGAGACCGAUAGCGAACAAGUACCGUGAGGGAAAGAUGAAAAGAACUUUGAAAAGAGAGUUAAACAGUACGUGAAAUUGUUGAAAGGGAAACGAUUGAAGUCAGUCAUACCAACGGGAAAUCAACCUCUUGAGUUUGGUCUUGUGGGUUUCGAAGAGUUUAAAAGCCUUCGGAUUUGCGAGGAUUGGGCUCUUUUGGUGUACUUUCUCGUACGGUUAGUCAACAUCGGUUUUGAAUGUCAUAAAAUGACUGGAGGAAUGUGGCUUCGAUCUCGUAUUGAAGUGUUAUAGCCUUUGGUAGAUGUGAUGUUCGAGACCGAGGAUUGCAAUGGAUACCCUUCUGGGCUAUUCGUCUGAUCUCUGAUACGUUGCCCUGAUGUCGAAAGCUUGCUUAUGAUGUUAGGGUAUUACGGUCAAAAGGUUAGAACGGAUUUAAAUUCGUUAAGGAUGUUGACGU
RNAcentral lists this ribosomal RNA (723 nucleotides) under uncultured fungus. Its description in RNAcentral is "LSU rRNA". It matches the Rfam family "Eukaryotic large subunit ribosomal RNA", at positions 65 to 632 of the family's 3401-position model. Lineage: Eukaryota; Fungi. The record is from RNAcentral.